AUUGCUUCUCGGCCUUUUGGCUAAGAUCAAGUGUAGCGUAACAGCCAAAAAGUUGAAACAAUCCAGGGACUCAGGAUGGGAAUAUAAUUUACCAGAAAUGGGUAUAAGGAAACUCUUCUGGUUAUUUUUUAAAUGGAUUGCGGCAAUUUUACAAUGUUGCAAAUUCAAAAUCCUU
Molecule: small nuclear RNA, 175 nt
Filed under: Suricata suricatta (meerkat)
Lineage: Eukaryota; Metazoa; Chordata; Mammalia; Carnivora; Herpestidae
Description: U2 spliceosomal RNA (ENSSSUG00005012254.1)
Rfam family: U2 spliceosomal RNA
About the family: U2 is a small nuclear RNA (snRNA) component of the spliceosome (involved in pre-mRNA splicing). Complementary binding between U2 snRNA (in an area lying towards the 5' end but 3' to hairpin I) and the branchpoint sequence (BPS) of the intron results the bulging out of an unpaired adenosine, on the BPS, which initiates a nucleophilic attack at the intronic 5' splice site, thus starting the first of two transesterification reactions that mediate splicing.
Source: Rfam by way of RNAcentral